This 468-nucleotide ribosomal RNA is filed under the name uncultured bacterium. RNAcentral's name for it is "partial 16S ribosomal RNA". It matches the Rfam family "Bacterial small subunit ribosomal RNA", at positions 28 to 507 of the family's 1533-position model. The record is from RNAcentral.
GACGAACGCUGGCGGCGCGCCUAACACAUGCCAGUCGAACGGAGCUGCGAGAAGCUUGCUUUUCUUAGCUUAGUGGCGAACGGGUGAGUAACGCGUGAGUAACCUGCCCUGGAGUGGGGGACAACAGUUGGAAACGACUGCUAAUACCGCAUAAGCCCACGAUCCGGCAUCGGAUUGAGGGAAAAGGAUUUAUUCGCUUCAGGAUGGACUCGCGUCCAAUUAGCUAGUUGGUGAGGUAACGGCCCACCAAGGCGACGAUUGGUAGCCGGACUGAGGGGUUGAACGGCCACAUUGGGACUGAGACACGGCCCAGACUCCUACGGGAGGCAGCAGUGGGGGAUAUUGCACAAUGGGGGAAACCCUGAUGCAGCGACGCCGCGUGGAGGAAGAAGGUUUUCGGAUUGUAAACUCCUGUCGUGAGGGACGAUAAUGACGGUACCUAACAAGAAAGCACCGGCUAACUACGUG